UACGAAGGGGGCUAGCGUUGCUCGGAAUCACUGGGCGUAAAGGGUGCGUAGGCGGGUCUUUAAGUCAGAGGUGAAAUCCUGGAGCUCAACUCCAGAACUGCCUUUGAUACUGAAGAUCUUGAGUUCGGGAGAGGUGAGUGGAACUGCGAGUGUAGAGGUGAAAUUCGUAGAUAUUCGCAAGAACACCAGUGGCGAAGGCGGCUCACUGGACCGGUACUGACGCUCAUGCACGAAAGCGUGGGGAGCAAACAGG
Molecule: ribosomal RNA, 253 nt
Filed under: uncultured bacterium
Lineage: Bacteria
Description: partial 16S ribosomal RNA
Rfam family: Bacterial small subunit ribosomal RNA
Source: RNAcentral